Molecule: ribosomal RNA, 253 nt
Filed under: uncultured bacterium
Lineage: Bacteria
Description: partial 16S ribosomal RNA
Rfam family: Bacterial small subunit ribosomal RNA
Source: RNAcentral
UACGUAGGGUGCGAGCGUUAAUCGGAAUUACUGGGCGUAAAGCGUGCGCAGGCGGUGAUGUAAGACAGAUGUGAAAUCCCCGGGCUCAACCUGGGAACUGCAUUUGUGACUGCAUCGCUGGAGUGCGGCAGAGGGGGAUGGAAUUCCGCGUGUAGCAGUGAAAUGCGUAGAUAUGCGGAGGAACGCCGAUGGCGAAGGCAAUCCCCUGGGCCUGUACUGACGCUCAUGCACGAAAGCGUGGGGAGCAAACAGG